CACAGCCUUUUCUCCAUGCUCGUGUGCACCUGCUGUCUUCCUUCCUGUGUCUUCAUCAGACUUGGUCUCCCCUCCAUCUUGGUUGGCUUUCUCUCUCUCUCUCUCUCUCUCUCUCUCUCUCUCUCACACACACACACACACACACACACACACACACACGCCUCAAAGUGUCUUAGCUUGGAAGUUGGGUGGUGAUUGGGGUGGGGGACGAAAUGUCACUCUGGCCCAGAAGCCUGGGGAGGACUCAGGAAUGCUCUUGGCAUCCUGAUCCUUGUGUGCUCCUGCCCCUUUGCCUCUUGGAGACCAGAGGGGGCUUUCUCUGGCCUGGUUCCUCCUUUCUCUGGAUCCCUGGAUGUUUGAGCUGAGCACAGGCGAGUGGAUGAGCGGGGUUAGGGUUUGCAAGAUCCUUAUUGGACUUUGAGGCUAAAGAGCAUGUUUUGCUGGCACUGUGCUUUCAGAGGCCUGUGACCGUGCACCUGCGUAUGGAGCCGUCAGGCACCUAGGGGUGUGUCACCCUCAAGGACCUGUGGCCUGUUCUGGUGCCCGGCUCCUAGAAAGCUUUUGAAAAGUGCUUGUAGAUACUAAAGUGUUUGUACUUCUGGGCAGGGUCUGGGUUUGGUGGAGCUUUCAUGAAUUGGGGUGCCCUCUUUCAGAAAAAGAUUAUGGAUAUCAAAUGCUAGAGCCCUUCCCAAUGUGGGGGAGGGGGGCCGGGCGCUGAAGCACCUGCUUUAUUAGCUUCAUGAAUGGGGCCUAAAUAAACAGAGUGAAGAGCAGCCGGUUGAGGCCCCCACAGUUGGAGCAACCGGGUGGGGAGAUUCAACGCUAAGGCUGGGAUGGUGACAUCUGCUGUGCUCUGAGGACCCUCAGAACGAGGGGCAGCCAUGCAGACCUCAGGUUUGCAUUCUCCAAAGGGCAGGACCAAUCCUCCCAUCUUUGGUAAACUGCCACUGGACGUCGAUGCCCCUGGAUUUUUUUCUCUCUUCUUAGUGCGUCUGGUUGGGAGCCACAGACCAACCCUGAGUCCCACCUCACCCAGAGCUGCCAGGUAGAUCAGUACACAUGGCGGCGUCCGGCCUCCAUGCUGCCCUUGUGUGUGUGUGUGUGUGUGUGUGUGUGUGUGUGAAAGAGAGAGAAUGUGAGACUGUGCAUGUGUGUGACUCUGUGCAUGUGUGUGUGUGUGAGACGUAUGCGUGUAUAAUGCUGUGUAUGUGGAACAGGAGGGUGAGGGGUCCUGGAGGUGAUGGGACGUGUACCUAGAGGUUCAGGGGUCUGUUCUGCUGACCUUCCAGACUCAUCCAUUAAUUAGGGUCAGGGGAGCAAAUGGAAUUGGGCGGUUUUUUGGGAAGGAGGCUACUUACUUCUUGGAAGAUGUGGGAAAGCUACGGUUCUGUUCCCACUAAGGAGGGGCAGCUGUGUGUGCGUGUGUGUGUUUGUGUGUGCACACAUGAAAGAAAGAGAUUGAGAAGAAGCGUUUACAUGAAAUACUCAAAAUUGUUCCUUUUGCUGUAAUGGCUCCACACAGACCAUUACCUUGCAGAUUUAAAAACUAAAUGAGCUCAUCAUAUCUAGUGACUUCCCUCGACAUUCAUGCUUGAUUGCGAAGCCUGCCUUACCUUUGCAUUUCAACUUCAUUGUUUGUUAUGAAUUCUCGGAUAGCCGUUUCUCCCCCUCUUGGAUUCAACCGUGAACACGCUGAUUUUGUGCGAGGGGUGGACCUCAACAGGACCCCACUCAACAGGGCCCCACUCGAGAACCUUUUCAUGUUAAAGACGGCCCUGUGACCUCUAGGGCAGAGCCUGGCAUUUUGAGGGAUCCAGGGCGCUGAGGUGGAGGCAUGGGUUGGCUUUGGAGGGGGCAGAAGUUUUGCAUUUUGUAAUUCAAUAAUUCGCGUUUCGUGUGAAUGGUUCUGCGUUCCGUGCAAGACUCUGCAUUUUCAUAACUGUCUCUUCCACUUUGGGCAGAGGAGGGGAGGGAAGAAAUAACAGCAGCAGUAUUCUGUGGGCAAAGGAAGAAAACAAGAGAAUGGGGCAGAGAACAGGCUAAAUUUAAAAUUGUAAUUGGCUGACUUCCACUGGCUUGCGGGUGUUUUAAUGACUCAUAAUAACUUCAUUUAAAACCAGCUGAGCAGAAAAUAGAUUGGAGAGGAGCCUCGGGCCAUUAUGGAUUUGUUUUUUUUGACAAGCUCGGUGUACAGCAGCCAGGAAGGCUCUCACAGAGGGCUUGGCUGUGUUCUCUCUCUCUCUCUCUCUCUGAGGGUUGGUGGUCUGCCCGGGAGAGAUUGUAUAGAAACCUAGGGCUGCUUUUUUUUUUCACCCCCCCCCUUUAAAACUGAUUAAAAAUAGACGCCUUGAGGUAUUAUUUUAGCAUCAGUAUGUUUUUUUUUUUUUAACUUUUGAUGUGGUAAAUGGAACAUAAAUAAAAUUGUUUUUGAAAUUACCGAAUUAAUUAGGUAGUAAAGCCACGACAAUGCAUAAAUUUCCUUUGCUCGUUGCCCUGAUCCAUAUUUGGGGGGCGUUCCCCCCUUUUCCCAUCCCCUCCUCCUGUCCCCCACCAGCCCCACCUUCCUCCCCACACGGAUCCUCCCUUUGAAUGGCAGCGUUCUUUUAUCAUCCGGGCAACAUCCAAAUGAUUUUUUUUUUUUUUAAAGAUCUGUAGGAUUUUGACAGGAUUGGUUCUAUCCCGCUACUCAGUCAGCUCGAGGAAGCACGAGUUUUGGGAAUUGCCAGAAAAGGCUCUAACCUGCCUCUGGCUGUUUUAAAUAGAUCCCGCCUGCUUCCCAUGCUAGGAAGUGUGCCAGGCAGGCGAGUGAGCCUUUUUCUCUUCUCUUUUGAAAGUCAGCCGGCUCAGCCAUGGGAUGCAUCUGUCUGGGCAGGACAAGAGGCCGCCCCCCCAUCUGAUUGCUUGUAGCCAUUUAUCUAUCCCCUCUUAUGGCACCUGUCACCUUCUUUGUGUCAUAGCUAUUUAUUUGCUUGUCCUUUUUCGCCUCCUAGACUCUCAGCUUUUUCAGAACGUGUGAUUUAUUUCCAUGUCUCCCAUACUUCCUAGCGGAGUGACCUGCAAGGUGGUUACAACUCAGUUGUUUUUGGAAUAAACUAAUGGCUGAGUGGACCAGUAUGUCUCGAGGCACCUGAUGGGGAAUUGCCCCUGAAGCGCCACCCUGCAUCCUUGCAGCCCCAAGGGCCAGCUGUCUAGACUAAAGGACAGGAGUGGAGGCAGGACCUUAUCGGUGUGUGCUCCGUGGCAUCUCCAAGACCUGACACACAGCAGGCUCUCAGUAAAUACUGUUGAAUAAAUGAAUGGCUCUGGACGCACGGUCUGGCUGAGGGGAGAAGACAAAAAUCACUACGUAAUUGGAUGCCUACUGUGGUCCAGGCCCGGUGCUUGGCCUGCUGCAGGUCUAAACUCACUUUUCUCAUGUUGACCUUGGUGGUAGUUAUGCUGAUUCUGUUUUACAAGUAAGGCUUCCAGCAUUGCAGUAGCUUGUGUAAGGUCACACAGCCAGGAGCGGCGAAGCUGGAUUCCUAGCCAGGGCUCUCUGCUCUCUGAGCUCUUACUUUUCUAGUAUGUGGCACGGCUGUGCUGGCCCAGAGGCUUGCUUUCCUGUGUGUAAAGACAGCCAGUGUCUCAGUGCCUGGGGGCUGAGACAGGGAGAAUCAGUGAGGCUCUGUCCCUGGGGGUCCUGGGGGUGGGAUGGGCGCAUGGGCUACUGCUCAGGGCCUUGUACCUGGGUGGCCAAGAGCAGGUGUGUGACUUAGCCUCUUCCUGCUCUUCCCUAGUCAUGUGUGUUCAGUUGUAGCUGCCAUGGCGACCAUUACUCCUCCCUCUUGCCUUAAGGGCAGGGGGAAGGGUAGUUCUGGGAGUGUCGCUAGAGGGUCUGUAGUGAGUAAUUGGCCCUCCCACCCAGGUGAGAGCCUGGCUAUUUUUUUAUGUGUCCAUAACUGUCCCACACAGAGAGGAGGGGCUGCACCAGAGAGCUGCCUGUGGUUUCCCACAUGGGGACCCAGCUGGGUGCUCUGUUCCUUAGGAGGAGGCCCUCUGCUCUGUGAUGCUGAAUCAGAGUGAAGGGGCCAGCUGGCCAGUGCUGCAUCCCAGAAAGGUGGGCGCUCUGGCAGCUAGGGGUGUCACCAGCCCUUCAGACUUCAGUGUCCUGGGGUGGGAUGCGGCAGGAAGAUUCCAGCCUCCCUGACCUUUGGAACCUGUCCGGGCAAGCUGGACCACUUGGCAUGAGGCUCGUUCUGUCUGUUCUCCAACAACCUCAUCUUCCCCAGGCACGCACUGGGGAGGCUGGAGCCUUCUCUGGGGAUCAGAACAUCAACCAAAUGGGAACCAGAUGGAGAAGGAAAACCUCAAUGACUGUCCUGGGUGAUGAGAUGUGGCUCUCUUUGGGGGAGAAAAUCCUUCAUGGAUGAGUUCAUCAGUUAGCCAGUAUCAACUGAGGGCCAGUUGGUGCAAAGCCUGGCAGGACAGACAGAGGGGCUGCAGCUGGGGCCCUUAACCUGCAAGGGGCUGUCGGUCUGGCUAAGAGGAUGAUGUGAGCCCCCAGCAAGGCCGAGUGGGCCCCACCCCUACAAGGUGGGGGAGAGUUGAGUGUGACAGUUUACAGGAGGGAGAAACUCCUGGGGCCCAGGUUGAUGAGGAACAGCGUCGGGGAGGAGGUUCCUUGGAUUUUGAUGGGCUCUUUUCUGCUGGGAGGGUCCACAUGGAGCUUCAUGGUGGGCACUGGACCUGCUUCUCUGGAGGACAGGGACCAAGAGCUUUUGAGAACAAGAGCCAGUUGGUCAGGGGUCUCUUCCCUCCCCCUCUCCUUCUCCUCUUCCUCCUCUUCUGCCCACAGAAAAGGCCUUAAGCCCAGUUUCUCCUGCUGGAGAAUCCUCAGAGUUCUAAGGAUGGCAUGACCUUCCUUGGGCUGCCAAUUGAGAAACACCUGCAUUAACGAUUAAAAGCUGGCCCUUCCGGUGGACCCUCCAUGUUGAGCUGCCCACAAAACAAAUACGACCUUGAAAGUAGGAUUUCAAAUUGGAUGCAGAUCCAGAAUAUUCAUAUUUCUCAUGUCAGACUAGAUAAACCCCCCAAUAUGUGGUGAGUGUUCAGGCUCCAUGAAGCCCACCUUGAGAACACACAGCAUAGGGGGCUGCAGUGUGGUGGGGCUGAGUUCAGAGACUUGGCCACCCUGGAGGGCAGGGAGGAAGGGGGAGGGGGUCCUUAGGCUGAGGCCCCCCCCCAGCCCCGCCCACCUUCUCAGACCAACCCCCUCAGUGGGGAACCCCUGUAUGUGCUUCUUGGGAAGGUGGAGCGGAAGUCCCUUCAGUUGAACCCUGUCUAGGAUUCAACCCAACAAAGACAUCCCUUCUAGACUUUUCCCUGGUCGUUAACAUGCUCGCUCUUCUAAUUUUGAUUGGAAUUCGUUCACUUGCCAGGGAAAAGAAAAAAAAAAGUCAGUUCUAAACUUUUCAUUAGGUGGUUGGGAUAAGAAGUCUUCUGGGGUAGUCGGAUUAAACCUCGGCGGCUCUCACUGACUAUUACGAGCUAAUUGAGCACGGGGAGCUCAUUGGCGGCAGCAAUGAGCAUUUUGCUGGAGUAGUUAUGCAAGGCCAUGGUCGUUUUCAGUAACAAGGUAACUCCAGGUAAAGAGAGGACUCCCUGGAACUUUUGAUUUGCUGGAAUCCUCCUCAUUUUAUGUCUUCGCUAAGAUGAGUCCAGGAGAGACAAAGGCUCAGAGACCAGCUCUUUUGGGAGGUGCAGUCCACUGGGGAUUUCUGCCUGACGGGCCCUAAUUGCGCGGUCCCUUUGUUGGGGGCUGAUGGGGAAGACGCAGCAUAUCCGGAGAGAGCUCUGGUGGGCCCGGUUUCCACUGAUUGAGAUUUGGGGUCCAGAAUCAGAGGCCAGAAGCCUGGGGACAGCAGACCAGGGAGCAAAGAGACUCGCAGGCCAGCAUCUUCCUUGUUGACACAUGUGCGUGCUGAGUGCAGGUGUGACUGCAGGUAACGAGGCCAGAAUCACACCCUCUGUCUCAGCGGAGGUCUGUCUGUCCUUUGUGGGUGUGGUGUGGGGCUGCAUCAGUAGGGUCUUUUCUGCCCCAGAGGUUUCUUGAUGGUGGAGUUUUCUUAGACCUGCUGCCCUCCCUGGCACCGCACCCCCAGCCACAGUCACCAUCAGAAGGACUAGGCCACCCUCAGGUCCUGGGCUAAGUGGCCUGGCACGGACCUUUCAGUGCCCUUUGGCAGGGGCCCCAGGGCCUUGCCAAGCUGACCUUGUCCUCUGGGUGGCCCUGCCCGGCCCCUGGCCCACCGCCCACCUGCGUUGAAUCAUGCCCCUCAGAGGACAGCGUGUAACUGUGCUUCCAGAUAUAGCCCCUGGCCCCCCAGGGGACAGGCAGGGUCAUUGUCACAGAGCUGUCCAUCUUCCUGACAUCGCAUACCCCUCCUGGCUUUCUUCCCUCACUUCUCAGCCCU
This 6452-nucleotide long non-coding RNA is filed under the name Sus scrofa (pig). RNAcentral's name for it is "lncRNA (ENSSSCG00035029260.1)". Lineage: Eukaryota; Metazoa; Chordata; Mammalia; Artiodactyla; Suidae. The record is from RNAcentral.